Maniola jurtina (meadow brown) is the source of this 241-nucleotide long non-coding RNA. RefSeq lists it as uncharacterized. The transcript is spliced from 3 exons. The record is from RefSeq and is a predicted model, not a curated record. Lineage: Eukaryota; Metazoa; Arthropoda; Insecta; Lepidoptera; Nymphalidae.
CAACUUAAUUUUACUGGUAUCAGUUUGUUCAUAAUAUCUCAAUUUUGAUUUGAAUGUGGGUGGGAACGUUUUUAGGGUUCCUUACCCGAAGGGUGCUAACGGAACCCUUCCUAAGCCUCCACUGUAUAUGCAUCCGUCCGUCUUUCUGUAAUCAGACUGUAUCUCGAUUGUCGAGAACCGUAAUAGGUAGUUAAAAUUUACACAGAAUAUGUAUUCCGAUUUUUUUUUUUCAGAAAACACG